UAUGAUGUGUCGGAAUAACGAGCGGUUCUGAUAAGGCCGAUUAUGCGGCCCCUUGUGGCCGCCGUCAAUU
RNAcentral lists this transfer RNA (70 nucleotides) under Phallusia fumigata. RNAcentral's name for it is "transfer RNA-Ile". Lineage: Eukaryota; Metazoa; Chordata; Ascidiacea; Phlebobranchia; Ascidiidae. The record is from RNAcentral.